AUGGGCAGGUUUACGUUUGUUCGUGGCCCUAGUCCAGGCUCGCCGGCGCCACCGGCGCCGCCUUCUUCCGGCAUGUCCAAUCCGGCGGCUCGCUCUCCCACGCGGGAGGAAGGUCGCCGCGGUCCGACGACUCGUGCCAGGUCUUCAUCGUCUACGGAAAGCGCCAUGGUCCUGGAGAGGCUCACCGACGACCUCCUCGCCGAGAUCCUUUCACGGGUCCCCGCAAGUUCAGACAACGGCUGCAAUCUCGUCUCCAAGCGUUGGCGCAGCCUCAUCGACCGCCCCGACCACCGCAAGAGGCUUCCCCAGCCCCUGGCAGGCUUCUUCUACAACAGCACCAGCAAGCAUAGUUUAAAAACCCGGACCGGUGAGGCUGCCGGUUCAGAUUUUCACCUGUCCGACCGCCGGUUUUUUCGGUUCAAUGUCAUGAUGAAUGUUACGUGGCUCUACAUGUUUGGUUAA
RNAcentral lists this ribosomal RNA (462 nucleotides) under Triticum aestivum (bread wheat). RNAcentral describes it as "partial small subunit ribosomal RNA". The record is from RNAcentral. Lineage: Eukaryota; Viridiplantae; Streptophyta; Magnoliopsida; Poales; Poaceae.